RNAcentral lists this ribosomal RNA (253 nucleotides) under uncultured bacterium. RNAcentral describes it as "partial 16S ribosomal RNA". It matches the Rfam family "Bacterial small subunit ribosomal RNA", at positions 524 to 776 of the family's 1533-position model. The record is from RNAcentral.
CACGGGGGGAGCAAGCGUUGUUCGGAUUCCUUGGGCGUAAAGGGUGCGUAGGUUGCGCUGUCAGUCGGGUGUGAAAUUUCGGAGCUUAACUCCGAAACUGCAUUCGAUACUGCGGUGCUUGAGGACUGGAGAGGAGACUGGAAUUCAUGGUGUAGCAGUGAAAUGCGUAGAGAUCAUGAGGAAGACCAGUGGCGAAGGCGGGUCUCUGGACAGUUCCUGACACUGAGGCACGAAGGCCAGGGGAGCAAACGGG